Molecule: ribosomal RNA, 295 nt
Filed under: uncultured bacterium
Lineage: Bacteria
Description: partial 16S ribosomal RNA
Rfam family: Bacterial small subunit ribosomal RNA
Source: RNAcentral
GUAGUCCGCACGAGCGCACCCUCGCCCUUAUUGCCAGCAUUAAGUUGGGCACUCUAUGGGGACUGCCGGUGAUAAGCCGGAGGAAAGUGGGGAUGACGUCAAGUCAUCAUGUCCCUUACGGGCUGGGCUACACACGUGCUACAAUGGUGGUGACAGAGGGCAGCUACUUCGCGAGAAGAUGCUAAUCCCCAAAAGCCAUCUCAGUUCGGAUUGCACUCUGCAACUCGGGUGCAUGAAGUCGGAAUCGCUAGUAAUCGUGGAUCAGCAUGCCACGGUGAAUACGUUCCCGGGCCUU